Molecule: long non-coding RNA, 1606 nt
Organism: Brienomyrus brachyistius
Lineage: Eukaryota; Metazoa; Chordata; Actinopteri; Osteoglossiformes; Mormyridae
Exons: 2
Source: RefSeq, a predicted model, not a curated record
GAGGAUGAGGAGUAAAUGAAAUGCGACACAGACGGGGUGCGAUGCCUCAUGACCGUAAAAGUAAAUCAUGAUGUAAAUAUUUAUUACCUCUGCACAAAUUUAAACAUUCGCAGCUAUGGGCUUUAACGUGUACGUAUUUGUUAACCUGAUUUUGUGUGUGCGCAGUGUUGCAUUUAUUACACUGUCAUAGCUAAAAUGUAAUAGCAGAAUAUCAUGUUCUGUUGUUGCUUCUAAGAAUAUACUGCAUUUUCUCUGCAUUUGUCCGUCCCAGGAACAGUGGGGAUUGGUGACCAAAAACACACUGGAAAGGGGUAAGAUGUGGAAAAUCGUGGUAUAGUGAGUUCUGGGCAUACUUGGCCCAUGGCAGAAACUGGGUCCAGUCUGACUGAUUGUUAGUCGAGUAUGGUUGCAGAAAUCCAUCUGUCUCCUGAUUCAGUCUCUCAGACUGAGCAUUCGUCUAGGGGUGAUAUCCUGAGGAGAAGCUGAAGGAGAAUCUCUUGGAAUCAGCAACUCUAUCUGUAACUGGAUCAUGGACUUUCUGACCACCAGACCCCAGCAUUUUAGUUCAGGCCAUAACUGCUCUACCACUAUCAGUGACAAUGAUGAGUCUGACUACAGGGAAGAGGUAAAGCACCUAGCUGUAUGGUGCGCUGACAAUAACCUGCUCCUGAAUACCAGCAAAACCAAGGAGCUCAUUGUGGACUUCAGGAAGGAGAAGGGAGACACCCAUGACCCCAUCCACUUUGUUAGGUUGAAGAAACUGUUAUUAAUCAUUUUGUUAUCAUUCCUGUAUGAUUAGCUAUGAGUGUAAAUAUGUAUAUACAUUAUUUUGUUGUCUUCUAUCCACAUGCUCUAGAUUAUAUUAAUAAUAGUAUUUAGCUUGCACGUACCCUGAGUAUGUGCUCAACAGCUGUACACUUAGGUAAAAAACUUUUCUUGUUCUCACCUCCCUAUUCUGCAUGACUCUUGCACCUCCCACUGACUAUAAAUAAAGGAGCCAAGGGGAACCACCCUUUGUAACACAUUCUGCUGUAGGUUGCAUUGCAGAGAGUACCCUUGCAAGUAAAAACUAUAAAGUGUGUUGUCUCAAUAAAAGGUGGAGUUGGGGUGGAAACGCCGGGCGCUUUCCCCAACACACAUCAAUGGCUUGACUGUUGAACGGGUUUCCAGCUUCAAAUUCCUGGGGACCCACAUCUCAGAGAACCUGUCCUGGUCAACCAACAUCUCCACCUGGUCAAGAAGGCACAUCAGCGCCUCUUCUUUUUGAGGACGCUGAAGAAGAACCACGUAUCUGCUGACAUACUGUGUAACUUCUACCGCUGUGCGAUAGAGAGCAUCCUGACCAACUAUGUUACAGUCUGGUAUGGAAAUUGGUCUGUUGCUGACUGCAAGGCACUGCAGCGGGUGGUGAAAACCACCCAACGCAUUAUAGGAACUCCACUUCCUGCCAUUGAGGAUGUCCACAAGAAGAGAUGUCUACGACGGGCACACAGCAUUCUUAGGGACUCCUCUCAUCCUGCUAACAAUCUCUCCCAGCUCCUCCCCUCUACAAUGAUUAAGAAUGGUGUUAUCUAAGGUAGGCUUCUAAAUAAAGUGGGUGAACUUA